GCUGUGUUGAAAAGUGUAGGGGGUGUGAGCGUCACAAGGUUUGGAGUUAGACCACCUGAGUUUAGAUCUGGCUCUGCCGACUUCACACCUGUGGAACCUCUCAGGCUACGGAACAUCUUGGAGCCUCAGUUUCCUCCAACGUAGGGAUGUAAAGACAAGGGGAAGCUGCGUAAAGAGUAUACGGGAACCUUAUUAUUUUGUGACUCUGCUACAGUCAUCGUCGUCGUUCUUCCGAGUGGCAAAGACGGAUUGCCAACAUCCCCAGCCCUCCAGUCACUGACCUGACCGUUGAUGUGCUGAAAGCUUAUCAAGAAGGAACAAACACGCCUCCAGAUUCUCUUGAGAGUAAACUGCAAGUGACCUUCAACUCCAAGGCAUGUGAAAACAGCCCCGCAUGUGAGUGGUGGUUGAGUGGAUUCAAGUUAGGCAGCCCGGUAAUUUGGAUUGAACAGUGCUUUGGCUGCAACAAAUUGUGGUGAUAGAACAUAUGUUUCCCGGGCUUUGCUUUUGAUCUUCUGCUCCAAAGCUGAGGACACUCUCCCGAGGGGGAAAGAAAAAAGGAAAGAGAACUGGGUGGAAGAAAACGGACUUCACCCAUCAUUGUAAUAUUUCGUACCUGAAGCACAGCCACCUUGAGAGAAGAACAUGGUGGCCGCUCUUCACAGUCACCUGACUAAGGGUCUUGGGCUUGCUCCUGCCCUGGAGGGAAAUGCACCACCCCGGAGAGGCCCGCCCACAGCACCAGCACACUCACAGCCAAGCCUGGGCUCGGCCCCCGCGGACA
This is a long non-coding RNA of Neogale vison (American mink), 784 nucleotides long. RefSeq lists it as uncharacterized. The record is from RefSeq and is a predicted model, not a curated record. NCBI's taxonomy places the organism in Eukaryota, Metazoa, Chordata, Mammalia, Carnivora, Mustelidae. The transcript is spliced from 3 exons.